RNAcentral lists this non-coding RNA (260 nucleotides) under Oreochromis niloticus (Nile tilapia). RNAcentral describes it as "Eukaryotic small subunit ribosomal RNA". It matches the Rfam family "Eukaryotic small subunit ribosomal RNA", at positions 1194 to 1414 of the family's 1831-position model. The record is from Rfam by way of RNAcentral. Lineage: Eukaryota; Metazoa; Chordata; Actinopteri; Cichliformes; Cichlidae.
UUUGACUCAACACGGGAAACCUCACCCCGCCCGGACACAGAAAGGAUUGACAGAUUGAUAGCUCUUUCUCGAUUCUGUGGGUGGUGGUGCAUGGCCAUUCUUAGUAACGAACGAGACUACGACAUACUAACUAGUCAAAUAAGGCAGUUAACCCAAAAUACAUUUUUUUGUUACCACUUGGUUCGACAGUUAAUAUUAAUGAUUUUGUGCAGUAUUAAUCUGUUGCAUUUAACCAUUUUAUUUUUUUAUGUUCUUCAUAG